This 324-nucleotide ribosomal RNA is filed under the name uncultured eukaryote. Its description in RNAcentral is "partial 18S ribosomal RNA". It matches the Rfam family "Eukaryotic small subunit ribosomal RNA", at positions 1470 to 1796 of the family's 1831-position model. The record is from RNAcentral.
CCCUUAGAUGUUCUGGGCCGCACGCGCGCUACACUGAUGCAUUCAACGAGUUUCUUCCUGGUCCGAGAGGAAUGGGUAACCUUUUGAAAGUGCAUCGUGAUAGGGAUAGACUAUUGCAAUUAUUGGUCUUCAACGAGGAAUUCCUAGUAGACGUAGUUCAUCAGACUGCAUCGAUUACGUCCCUGCCCUUUGUACACACCGCCCGUCGCUCCUACCGCUUGAAUGCUCAGGUGAGCCAUUCGGACUUUCAUCAUGCUGGUUUCCAGUUUUGAUGAAGGAAAGUCUUGCGAACCUUAUCAUUUAGAGGAAGGAGAAGUCGUAACA